RNAcentral lists this long non-coding RNA (235 nucleotides) under Gallus gallus (chicken). RNAcentral describes it as "long non-coding RNA NONGGAT006549". The stretch from base 60 to 223 matches the Rfam family "U1 spliceosomal RNA". Rfam says of the family: U1 is a small nuclear RNA (snRNA) component of the spliceosome (involved in pre-mRNA splicing). The record is from RNAcentral. Lineage: Eukaryota; Metazoa; Chordata; Aves; Galliformes; Phasianidae.
CGCCGUGCGGUGCGGGCUGGUGGCGGGGCGUGGGGAGCGGGGCGGGGCGAGAGCAAAGCAUACUUACCUGGCAGGGGAGACACCAUGAUCAGGCAGGUGGUUUUCCCAGGGCGAGGCUCAUCCCCUGCACUCCGGGUGUGCUGACCCCUGCGAUUUCCCCAAAUGCGGGAAACUCGACUGCAUAAUUUGUGGUAGUGGGGGACUGCGUUCGCGCUCUCCCCUGAUUUGCGUGGUU